GAUGAACGCUAGCGGCAGGCCUAAUACAUGCAAGUCGAGCGGCAAGUCGAGGAGUAAUCUAAGACCUAGAGCGGCGCACGGGUGCGUAACGCGUAUGCAACCUACCUCAUACAGGGGGAUAGCCCGGAGAAAUCUGGAUUAAUACCCCAUGGCACAUUACAAAGGCAUCUGAGUAAUGUUAAAGAUUCAUCGGUAUGAGAUGGGCAUGCGUCUGAUUAGCUAGUUGGCGGUGUAACGGACCACCAAGGCGACGAUCAGUAGGGGUUCUGAGAGGAAGGUCCCCCACACUGGCACUGAGAUACGGGCCAGACUCCUACGGGAGGCAGCAGUAGGGAAUAUUGGGCAAUGGACGAGAGUCUGACCCAGCCAUGCCGCGUGCAGGAAGACGGCGUUCUGCGUUGUAAACUGCUUUUAUCUGGGAAGAAAAGGCCCAUGCGUGGGACAUUGCCGGUACCAGAUGAAUAAGCACCGGCUAACUCCGUG
RNAcentral lists this ribosomal RNA (483 nucleotides) under uncultured bacterium. RNAcentral describes it as "bacterial SSU rRNA". It matches the Rfam family "Bacterial small subunit ribosomal RNA", at positions 28 to 507 of the family's 1533-position model. The record is from RNAcentral.